AUGGCAGGCGAGCUUACUGUGAUGAUGUGCAUGGCGGCUGCGGCGCUGCUGGUUUCUUUGACCGGCGGCGCGGGCGUGGCGGCGGCCUCAGCGAAGGAGCUACGGCAAGGCUUCUCGGCCGCCCACGACACGUCCUACUCGCACUUCCAGCCGGUGCUCUCCGACCCCACCGGCGUCUUCGCCCUCGGCUUCCUCCGAGUCAACUCCACCACGCUCGACCUCGCCGUCCUCCACCUCCCUUCCGCUUUCCCCCUCUGGCGAGCCAUGCCAGACCGCCCCGCGCCGUGGUCUGCGGCCGCGUCCCUCUCCUUCAACGGCAGCCUGGUGCUCACGGACGGCGCCACCAACCAAGUGCUUUGGUCCACCGCCGCGGCGGCCGGCGACCGCGCCGUUCUCCUCAACACGUCCAACCUUCAGAUUCAGAGCAGCGGCUCGCCCGUUGCCGUGUGGCAGAGCUUCGACUACCCUUCGGACACCAUUGUCCAGGGUCAGAACCUCACCUCAUCGGCAGCGCUUCACUCCAUCGACCAGCGAUUCGCCAUGCGGCUCGGUAGCAACUACUUCGCGCUCUACGUCGAGCCGCCACCGCUGUCGUCGGGCGGCGUCGCCGCCGCCAUGUACUCGAAGCACACGGCUCUGGAGGCCAAGGCCCAGAUCGUGGCCGGCGGCGGCCCGAUAUACGUGCGUGUGGAGCCCGACGGCUACCUCGGCGUGUACCAGAAGGAGGGAGCCCCCGCCGACGUCAUGUCCUUCGACACCUUCAACCACGGCGUCCGCGCUCUCCGCCGCAUGACUCUGGAGCCCGACGGCAACCUCCGCGCCUACUACUGGGACGGGUCCCGGUGGGUGCUCGACUACACCACCAUCACCGACUCGUGCGAGCUGCCCACCACCUGCGGCGCGUACAGCGUCUGCGUGCCGCCCAGCGGCCGGUGCGCGUGCCUGGCGAACGCCACCGACGGCCCGGGCUGCGCCGCCCCCUCCGUCGGGAGCGGCCUGUGCGGCACCACGGGCGGCGAGGUUGGCGGGCUGUACUCGGAGGUGCGGGGACACGGCGUGGAGCCGGCGAACAAGGAGCUGCUGGGGUUCGAGCACGCGGCGUCCGCGGGAGACUGCGAGGCGCUGUGCGCGCGCAACUGCAGCUGCUGGGGCGCGGUGUACAGCAACGGGACGGGCUACUGCUACCUCAUCGACUACCCGGCGCAGCUGAUGGUGGCCGCCGACGAGAAGAAGCUGGGCUACUUCAAGGUGAGGAGCGUGGAAGAGGCGGCUGGGCGCGGCGGGAGGGCGACCGGUGUCAAGGCGGCGCUGCUUGCGGUCGGCGUCGCGGUGGUGGCUGCCGCCGCUGCGUUCGGGGCGUACAGGGUGUGGGACAGGAGGCGCCGUGCGGCAGCGGAGACGCGGCAGCAGCUGGGCGCCGACGGUGAUGGGCUCUCGCCGGGUCCCUACAAGAAUCUGGGAUCCUUUAGCUCCGUCGAGCUCUCCAGCAGCUUCAACUCCUUACGGAGGUAG
RNAcentral lists this ribosomal RNA (1512 nucleotides) under Triticum aestivum (bread wheat). Its description in RNAcentral is "partial small subunit ribosomal RNA". The record is from RNAcentral. Lineage: Eukaryota; Viridiplantae; Streptophyta; Magnoliopsida; Poales; Poaceae.